GGAUAAGGAUUGGCUCUGAAGAUUGAGAUAGUCGGGCUUGAUUGGGAAACAAUAACAUGGUUUAUGUGCUCGUUCUGGGUAAAUAGAGUUUCUAUCAUUUAUGGUAGUUACUUGUUCCCCGGAUAGUUUAGUUACGUAGCCAAUUGUGGAACUUUCUUGCUAAAAUUUUUAAGAAUACUAAUUGGGUAAAACCAAUUAGAUCUUAUUAAUUAUAACGAUUAU
This 222-nucleotide long non-coding RNA is filed under the name Drosophila guanche. The record is from RNAcentral. Lineage: Eukaryota; Metazoa; Arthropoda; Insecta; Diptera; Drosophilidae.